RNAcentral lists this transfer-messenger RNA (367 nucleotides) under uncultured Treponema sp. It matches the Rfam family "transfer-messenger RNA". Rfam says of the family: Bacterial tmRNA, also known as 10Sa RNA or SsrA, is named for its dual tRNA and mRNA-like properties. Its role is to liberate the mRNA from a stalled ribosome. Lineage: Bacteria; Pseudomonadati; Spirochaetota; Spirochaetia; Treponematales; Treponemataceae. The record is from RNAcentral.
GGGGGUGCACCGGUUUCGACAGAUCUGAUUGAUCGUGUACUGCAAGUAGGCGUGAAGGUGCCUUGAACUGACAAAAAAAUAACUGCAAAACGUAGAGAAGACUUCGUGUCUGAAAACGAACAGUUAGCAUUGGCUGCUUAAGCUAUGCCGGUAAUCAUGGUGUGCUGUUCCUAACAUUGUGAAUUACCGUCGCCAACAGGAACUUGCUCUGUUAUGAUUCUAGGCUUAACAGGGGACUUUUUCUAGAAUAAGGAGACGACGCUUUUGGUGCUGCUACCGUCUCCCGACAAAUACCUCGCACCAAUAAACUUGUAGACGUGCAUGGUUUGCGCUUCUGGACGGGGGUUCAAUUCCCCCCAUCUCCACU